AUGGGUGCUGGAAUAAGUGAGGGAGAUUCAUGUGGGACACACAAGCCACCUAGGCCCGCCCAGGGGGGUGGGUGCGCCCUGUGGGCUUGUGGCCCACUGGUGCUGCCCCUUGGUGUGUUCUUAGUGCCAAAAAUUCUUAAAUAUUCCAUAAAAAAUCAUACUAAAUUUUCAGGGCAUUUGGAGAACUUUUAUUUCUGGGACAUUUUUUAUUGUACGGAUAAUUCAGAAAACAGACAAAUAAUAGUAUUUUUGCUUUAUUUAUUCUCAGUAACAGAAAGUAAAAAGUGGGUACAGAAAGUUGUGUUUACUACAUUCAUUCAUCUCAUGCCCGUCAAAAGGAAUCCGUUAACAAGGUUGAUCAAGUCUUAUUAA
This 372-nucleotide ribosomal RNA is filed under the name Triticum aestivum (bread wheat). RNAcentral describes it as "partial small subunit ribosomal RNA". Lineage: Eukaryota; Viridiplantae; Streptophyta; Magnoliopsida; Poales; Poaceae. The record is from RNAcentral.